RNAcentral lists this ribosomal RNA (253 nucleotides) under uncultured bacterium. Its description in RNAcentral is "partial 16S ribosomal RNA". It matches the Rfam family "Bacterial small subunit ribosomal RNA", at positions 524 to 776 of the family's 1533-position model. The record is from RNAcentral.
GACGUAGGGCGCGAGCGUUGUCCGGAUUUAUUGGGCGUAAAGAGCUCGUAGGCGGCUCGUUGCGUCGGCUGUGAAAACCCGCAGCUCAACUGUGGGCUUGCAGCUGAUACGGGCGGGCUGGGAUUCGGUAGGGGAGACUGGAAUUCCUGGUGUAGCGGUGAAAUGCGUAGAUAUCAGGAGGAACACCGGUGGCGAAGGCGGGUCUCUGGGCCGUAACUGACGCUGAGGAGCGAAAGCGUGGGGAGCGAACAGG